This 351-nucleotide ribosomal RNA is filed under the name uncultured soil bacterium. Its description in RNAcentral is "bacterial SSU rRNA". It matches the Rfam family "Bacterial small subunit ribosomal RNA", at positions 512 to 863 of the family's 1533-position model. The record is from RNAcentral.
CAGCCGCGGUAAUACGUAGGCAGCAAGCGUUGUUCGGAAUUACUGGGCGUAAAGAGUGUGUAGGCGGUGCUCUAAGUUUGGUGUGAAAUCUCCCGGCUUAACUGGGAGGGUGCGCCGAAAACUGGAGUGCUCGAGUGUGGGAGAGGUAAGCGGAAUUCCUGGUGUAGCGGUGAAAUGCGUAGAUAUCAGGAGGAACACCUGUGGUGUAGACAGCUUACUGGACCACGACUGACGCUGAGACACGAAAGCGUGGGUAGCAAACAGGAUUAGAUACCCUGGUAGUCCACGCCCUAAACGAUGCAUACUUGGUGUGAGCGAUUCAUUUCGUUCGUGCCGGAGCUAACGCGUUAA